This 478-nucleotide ribosomal RNA is filed under the name uncultured bacterium. Its description in RNAcentral is "SSU rRNA". It matches the Rfam family "Bacterial small subunit ribosomal RNA", at positions 26 to 518 of the family's 1533-position model. The record is from RNAcentral.
AGGACGAACGCUGGCGGCGUGCUUAACACAUGCAAGUCGAGCGGUAAGGCUCCUUCGGGAGCACACGAGCGGCGAACGGGUGAGUAACACGUGAGCAAUCUGCCCUUCACACUGGGAUAACCCCGGGAAACCGGGGCUAAUACCGGAUGCGACCACCGACGGCAUCGUCUGGUGGUGGAAAGUUCCGGCGGUGGGGGAUGAGCUCGCGGCCUAUCAGCUUGUUGGUGGGGUAAUGGCCUACCAAGGCUUCGACGGGUAGCCGGCCUGAGAGGGUGACCGGCCACACUGGGACUGAGACACGGCCCAGACUCCUACGGGAGGCAGCAGUGGGGAAUAUUGGACAAUGGGCGAAAGCCUGAUCCAGCAACGCCGCGUGAGGGAUGACGGCCUUCGGGUUGUAAACCUCUUUCAGCAGGGACGAAGCGCAAGUGACGGUACCUGCAGAAGAAGCACCGGCCAACUACGUGCCAGCAGCCGC